UACUCCUACGGGAGGCAGCAGUGAGGAAUAUUGGUCAAUGGAUGAGAAUCUGAACCAGCCAAGUAGCGUGCAGGAAGACGGCCCUAUGGGUUGUAAACUGCUUUUGUACGGGGAUAAAGGAAGCUACGUGUAGCUUUUUGCAGGUACCGUACGAAUAAGGACCGGCUAAUUCCGUGCCAGCAGCCGCGGUAAU
Molecule: ribosomal RNA, 193 nt
Filed under: uncultured bacterium
Lineage: Bacteria
Description: partial 16S ribosomal RNA
Rfam family: Bacterial small subunit ribosomal RNA
Source: RNAcentral